UGGAUUAGGCAUGCAAGUCGAACGAGAACCGUAGCAAUACGGGGAAAGUGGCGAAAGGGGCAGUAAUGCAUGGGUAAUCUACCCCGGGGACGUGGAUAGCCAUCCUAACGGGUGGGUAAUACACGGCGAUUCGGCGAGGGGGCAUCCUUUUGCCGGGAAAUGAAUUUCGCCUCGGGAGGAACUCAUGUCGUAUUAGCUUGUUGGCGGGGUAACGGCCCACCAAGGCACAGAUGCGUAGCGGGUGUGAGAGCACGACCCGCGCCACUGGCACUGAGACACUGGCCAGACACCUACGGGUGGCUGCAGUCGAGGAUCUUCGGCAAUGGGCGCAAGCCUGACCGAGCGACGCCGCGUGUGCGACGAAGGCCUUCGGGUUGUAAAGCACUGUCGAGGGGGAGGAAAGCCGAAAGGUCUGACCUAUCCCUGGAGGAAGCACGGGCUAAGUUCGUGCCAGCAGCCGCGGUAAGACGAACCGUGCGAACGUUGUUCGGAAUCACUGGGCUUAAAGGGCGCGUAGGCGGGCGAUCAAGUCAGGGGUGAAAUCCUCCAGCUUAACUGGAGAACUGCCUCUGAUACUGGUCAUCUUGAGUGGGGUAGGGGCGUGCGGAGCUGAUGGUGGAGCGGUGAAAUGUGUUGAUAUCAUCAGGAACUCCGGUGGCGAAAGCGGCGCGCUGGACCCUAACUGACGCUGAGGCGCGAAAGCCAGGGG
RNAcentral lists this ribosomal RNA (709 nucleotides) under uncultured soil bacterium. RNAcentral describes it as "bacterial SSU rRNA". It matches the Rfam family "Bacterial small subunit ribosomal RNA", at positions 45 to 766 of the family's 1533-position model. The record is from RNAcentral.